Molecule: ribosomal RNA, 269 nt
Filed under: uncultured prokaryote
Description: partial 16S ribosomal RNA
Rfam family: Bacterial small subunit ribosomal RNA
Source: RNAcentral
AACGUAGGAGGCGAGCGUUAUCCGGAUUUACUGGGCGUAAAGCGCGUGUAGGCGGUUUGGUAAGUCGGACGUUAAAGCUCCUGGCUCAACUGGGAGAGGCCGUUCGAGACUGCCAGACUAGAGGGCAGCAGAGGGAGGUGGAAUUUCAGGUGUAGCGGUGAAAUGCGUAGAUAUCUGAAGGAACACCAGUGGCGAAGGCGGCCUCCUGGACUGUCCCUGACGCUAAGACGCGAAAGCUAGGGGAGCAAACGGGAUUAGAUACCCGCGUA